GCAAAACAACUCCUGCUGCCAUGUGCAAGAUCUGUGGCUCCAGCUGUAAUUACUUCCUCCAUGCCUUUUUGUUGCUGUUGUCCCAAGGAACAGUUCGUGGAAAUGAAUGUGCCACCCUAACUUCCACAGAGUCACCUCUGUCCUUGAGUCUCUUAGGUGCUCCAAUCUUGACCCCUGGGAGCAGUGGCCAGCAUCGUGGUAAACCAGACAAGGGCCCGCCUUUCAGUGGGUGUUACCCGAGGGCAAAGGGAGUCCGUGGAACUGUGAACGGAGGGAAAGCGCCUCCCACGGCAGCAUCUUCUUGCAUCUGGCCCUCCCUGGGUGCCUCAGGUUUCUCCCCCAUCCCAGCCUCACAGAGAUUGACAGCCCUUUUAAUAUGA
Molecule: long non-coding RNA, 380 nt
Filed under: Macaca fascicularis (crab-eating macaque)
Lineage: Eukaryota; Metazoa; Chordata; Mammalia; Primates; Cercopithecidae
Description: lncRNA (ENSMFAG00000056869.1)
Source: RNAcentral